RNAcentral lists this ribosomal RNA (1393 nucleotides) under uncultured marine bacterium. Its description in RNAcentral is "bacterial SSU rRNA". It matches the Rfam family "Bacterial small subunit ribosomal RNA", at positions 27 to 1393 of the family's 1533-position model. The record is from RNAcentral.
GAACGAACGCUGGCGGCAGGCCUAACACAUGCAAGUCGAACGAAGGCCCGGAGCUUGCUCCGGUGUCCUUAGUGGCGGACGGGUGAGUAACACGUGGGCAAUUUGCCCCCGGGUUGGGGAUAACAUUUCUAACGAAGUGCUAAUACCGAAUGACAAAGUGAGUUUAUGACUUGCUUUUAAAGGUGGCCUCUACUUGUAAGCUGCCGCCUGGGGAUGAGCCCGCGUCGUAUUAGCUUGUUGGUGGGGUAACGGCCUACCAAGGCGACGAUGCGUAGCCGGCCUGAGAGGGUGAACGGCCACACUGGAACUGAGACAAGGUCCAGUCUCCUACGGGAGCCAGCAGUCUAGAAAUUUGCACAAUCGCCGAAAGGCGGAUGCAGCGACACCACGUGGAGGAUGAAGCCGUUCGCGGUGUAAACUCCUGUCAGGAGGGAAGAAGGUGCGGAUGUUAAUACCACCCGCUACUUGACGGUACCUCCAGAGGAAGCUCCGGCUAACUACGUGCCAGCAGCCGCGGUAAUACGUAGGGAGCGAGCGUUGUUCGGAUUUACUGGGCGUAAAGAGCACGUAGGCGGGUAUUCAAGUCGGUUGUGAAAUCCUCUGGCUCAACCAGAGAACUGCAAUCGAAACUGUAUACCUUGAGUCCAACAGAGGGAAUCGGAAUCCAAAGGUGUAGCGGUGAAAUGCGUAGAUAUCUUGGAGAACAUCAGUGGCGAAGGCGGAUUCCUGGGUUGUGACUGACGCUGAGGUGCGAAAGCUAAGGUAGCGAACAGGAUUAGAUACCCUGGUAGUCUUAGCCGUAAACGAUGAGUGCUAGUUGUCGGGGGACAUAGUUCCUCGGUGACGCAGCUAACGCAUUAAGCACUCCGCCUGGGGAGUACGGCCGCAAGGUUAAAACUCAAAGGAAUUGACGGGGGCCCGCACAAGCGGUGGAGCAUGUGGUUUAAUUCGACGCAACGCGAAGAACCUUACCAGCCCUUGACAUGGGCGUCGCGGAUCGCAGAGAUGCUUUCCUUCAGUUCGGCUGGACGCCACACAGGUGCUGCAUGGCUGUCGUCAGCUCGUGUCGUGAGAUGUUGGGUUAAGUCCCGCAACGAGCGCAACCCUCAUCCUUAGUUGCCAUCAGUUCGGCUGGGCACUCUAGGGAAACUGCCGGUGACAAGCCGGAGGAAGGUGGGGAUGACGUCAAGUCCUCAUGGCCCUUACGGGCUGGGCUACACACGUGCUACAAUGGCGAUGACAGAGGGAUGCAAAGGUGCGAGCCUGAGCUAAUCUCCAAAAAUCGUCUCAGUUCGGAUUGUUCUCUGCAACUCGAGAGCAUGAAGGCGGAAUCGCUAGUAAUCGUGGAUCAGCAUGCCACGGUGAAUACGUUCCCGGGCCUUGUACACACCGC